ARCUAUACGGAUACAUUUGGACCGCAUGGUUCUAAAGUGAAAGAUGGUUUUGCUAUCACUUAUAGAUGGACCCGCGCCGUAUUAGCUAGUUGGUAAGGUAACGGCUUACCAAGGCRACGAUACGUAGCCGACCUGAGAGGGUGAUCGGCCACACUGGAACUGAGACACGGUCCAGACUCCUACGGGAGGCAGCAGUAGGGAAUCUUCCGCAAUGGGCGAAAGCCUGACGGAGCAACGCCGCGUGAGUGAUGAAGGGUUUCGGCUCGUAAAACUCUGUUAUUAGGGAAGAACAAAUGUGUAAGUAACUGUGCACGUCUUGACGGUACCUAAUCAGAAAGCCACGGCUAACUACGUGCCAGCAGCGSSGGGUAAUAAA
RNAcentral lists this ribosomal RNA (376 nucleotides) under Staphylococcus saprophyticus. RNAcentral describes it as "bacterial SSU rRNA". It matches the Rfam family "Bacterial small subunit ribosomal RNA", at positions 165 to 527 of the family's 1533-position model. Lineage: Bacteria; Bacillati; Bacillota; Bacilli; Caryophanales; Staphylococcaceae. The record is from RNAcentral.